RNAcentral lists this ribosomal RNA (297 nucleotides) under uncultured bacterium. Its description in RNAcentral is "partial 16S ribosomal RNA". It matches the Rfam family "Bacterial small subunit ribosomal RNA", at positions 790 to 1084 of the family's 1533-position model. The record is from RNAcentral.
GUAGUCCACGCCGUAAACGAUGGGCACUAGGUGCCUGGGGGAGCGACCCCCCGGGUGCCGUCGCUAACGCAUUAAGUGCCCCGCCUGGGGAGUACGGCCGCAAGGCUGAAACUCAAAGGAAUUGACGGGGGCCCGCACAAGCGGUGGAGCAUGUGGUUUAAUUCGACGCAACGCGAAGAACCUUACCUAGGCUUGACAUGCACGGGAAAGCCCGGUGAAAGCCGGGCCCCUCUUCGGAGUCCGUGCACAGGUGCUGCAUGGCUGUCGUCAGCUCGUGUCGUGAGAUGUUGGGUUAAG